UAGCGUAUAUUAAAGUUGUUGCGGUUAAAAAGUUCGUAGUUGGAUUUCUGCUGGAUUCGGUCGGUCCGUGCUAUGCGCGAGUAUCUGUCCGAGCCCGGCAUCCUCGCGGAUCACGUUCCUGUGCUUCACUGCAUGGGUCGGAGUUCGCGACUUUUACUUUGAGGAAAUUAGAGUGUUCACGGCAGGCUAGGCCGGAAUACAUUAGCAUGGAAUAAUGGAAUAGGACUACGGUCUCUUUGUUGGUUUCUAGGGCUAAGAUAAUGAUUAAUAGGGACAAUUGGGGGCAUUCGUAUUAACGCGUC
RNAcentral lists this ribosomal RNA (302 nucleotides) under Amoebophrya sp. RNAcentral describes it as "SSU rRNA". It matches the Rfam family "Eukaryotic small subunit ribosomal RNA", at positions 595 to 906 of the family's 1831-position model. Lineage: Eukaryota; Dinophyceae; Syndiniales; Amoebophryaceae. The record is from RNAcentral.